GAUGAACGCUGGCGGCGUGUCUAAUACAUGCAAGUCGAGCGAACAGACGAGGAGCUUGCUCCUCUGACGUUAGCGGCGGACGGGUGAGUAACACGUGGAUAACCUACCUAUAAGACUGGGAUAACUUCGGGAAACCGGAGCUAAUACCGGAUAAUAUAUUGAACCGCAUGGUUCAAUAGUGAAAGACGGUUUUGCUGUCACUUAUAGAUGGGUCCGCGCCGCAUUAGCUAGUUGGUAAGGUAACGGCUUACCAAGGCGACGAUGCGUAGCCGACCUGAGAGGGUGGUCGGCCGCCACGGAGGUGAUGAGAGGCGGCGCAGACUCCGGGGGGAAGCAGUAGGGGAGGGUAUGGAAUGGGGGGCAGAAUGCUGGAGCAACGACGUGGCGUGGAGGAUGGACGCCGGCGGGUUAAAAACUGUUUUUGGGGGAGAAGAAAGUCCUGAGCUAUGUGGUAGGGUUUGAGGGUGCCGAAUUAGAAAGCCACGGCUAACUACGUG
Molecule: ribosomal RNA, 497 nt
Filed under: uncultured bacterium
Lineage: Bacteria
Description: partial 16S ribosomal RNA
Rfam family: Bacterial small subunit ribosomal RNA
Source: RNAcentral